GUUUCAUUUCGCCGCAUGAUAAAGAAAUCCAACUGGGGCUGAAAUGACCAGCGUUAGGGCAGUGGACAUUAAUGUGGAUGUAUUAUGAAAAUGAAGAUGAAUUGAUGAGACGGCUCGUCGUCGUGUCAGUGAGAUAAUCUGCAUGUUGCAUGUUGACAUGAAUCCUGCGUCUCCUCAUACUGAAGCUUCUCACUGCUUCUCAGCAACAGCAAGUAAGAAAUAUGGCAGAGCUCAGGCCUCCACAUGCAUCCGUCAUCAUCAUCAUCCUCAUCAUCAUCAGGAGACGCACUGCUGCUAUCUUCAUCACAACUGCAUCGCCACGUGUCCUCUCGCUCUGGACCAAUCAGAGCGCAGCAUCUUCUACACAAGCUGUCCAAGGUGGGAACGUUUAUUCUUCCUCACCGUUCUGUAGAAUACUGUAGCUACCAUCAUGAAAUGUUCCAUCUUCAUGCUGCAGUGGAGGUACAGUAUAGUCCCAGAGCCAGGUAGAGGUGCACCCAUUCGACAGUACCAGCUGUCAAUCACACUGUAUCCACGCCCCCCAACACACACUGUGCUUUACGGUCUAUGUGACUGUAAAUGAACCAAAAUGUACAAAAUGAACAUCAU
This is a long non-coding RNA of Scophthalmus maximus (turbot), 609 nucleotides long. RefSeq lists it as uncharacterized. Lineage: Eukaryota; Metazoa; Chordata; Actinopteri; Pleuronectiformes; Scophthalmidae. The record is from RefSeq and is a predicted model, not a curated record. The transcript is spliced from 3 exons.